UACGGAGGGCGCGAGCGUUAAUCGGAAUUACUGGGCGUAAAGCGCGCGUAGGCUGUUGUGUAAGUUGGGGGUGAGAUCCCACGGCUCAACCGUGGAACAGCCCUUGAUACUGCGCGACUUGAAUCCGGGAGAGGGUGGCGGAAUUCCAGGUGUAGGAGUGAAAUCCGUAGAUAUCUGGAGGAACAUCAGUGGCGAAGGCGGCCACCUGGACCGGUAUUGACGCUGAGGCGCGAAAGCGUGGGGAGCAAACAGG
Molecule: ribosomal RNA, 253 nt
Filed under: uncultured bacterium
Lineage: Bacteria
Description: partial 16S ribosomal RNA
Rfam family: Bacterial small subunit ribosomal RNA
Source: RNAcentral